Molecule: ribosomal RNA, 301 nt
Filed under: uncultured bacterium
Lineage: Bacteria
Description: partial 16S ribosomal RNA
Rfam family: Bacterial small subunit ribosomal RNA
Source: RNAcentral
CAGUCGCCGCGGUAAUACGUAGGGUUUAAGCGUUAAUCGGAAUUACUGGGCGUAAAGCGUGCGCAGGCGGUUAUAUAAGACAGAUGUGAAAUCCCCGGGCUCAACCUGGGAACUGCAUUUGUGACUGUAUAGCUAGAGUACGGCAGAGGGGGAUGGAAUUCCGCGUGUAGCAGUGAAAUGCGUAGAUAUGCGGAGGAACACCGAUGGCGAAGGCAAUCCCCUGGGCCUGUACUGACGCUCAUGCACGAAAGCGUGGGGAGCAAACAGGAUUAGAUACCCCUGUAGUCCCUGUCUCUUAUAC